RNAcentral lists this ribosomal RNA (749 nucleotides) under uncultured bacterium. RNAcentral describes it as "bacterial SSU rRNA". It matches the Rfam family "Bacterial small subunit ribosomal RNA", at positions 9 to 754 of the family's 1533-position model. The record is from RNAcentral.
GAGUUUGAUCCUGGCUCAGGACGAACGCUGGCGGCGUGCCUAAUACAUGCAAGUCGAGCGGGGCUCUUCGGAGCCUAGCGGCGGACGGGUGAGUAACACGUGGGUAACCUGCCUGAUAGACUGGGAUAACGCUUGGAAACGAGUGCUAAUACCGGAUAGGCUCCUUGACCGCAUGGUCUUGGAGGGAAAGAGGCUUCUGCCUCACUGUCAGAUGGACCCGCGGCGCAUUAGCUAGUUGGUGGGGUAACGGCCCACCAAGGCGACGAUGCGUAGCCGACCUGAGAGGGUGACCGGCCACACUGGGACUGAGACACGGCCCAGACUCCUACGGGAGGCAGCAGUAGGGAAUCUUCCACAAUGGGCGCAAGCCUGAUGGAGCAACGCCGCGUGAGUGAUGACGGCCUUCGGGUUGUAAAACUCUGUCUUCUGUGACGAACAAGCCUGUGACUGGAAUGCUCAGGCCCUGACGGUAACAGAGGAGGAAGCCACGGCUAACUACGUGCCAGCAGCCGCGGUAAUACGUAGGUGGCAAGCGUUGUCCGGAAUUAUUGGGCGUAAAGCGCGCGCAGGCGGUUCCUUAAGUCUGAUGUGAAAGCCCCCGGCUCAACCGGGGAGGGUCAUUGGAAACUGGGGAACUUGAGUACUGAAGAGGAAAGCGGAAUUCCACGUGUAGCGGUGAAAUGCGUAGAGAUGUGGAGGAACACCAGUGGCGAAGGCGGCUUUCUGGUCAGUAACUGACGCUGAGGCGC